UCUAAAAUGGCAGACAGAUGUAUAGGAUUUAAGCUCCUACCAGGAAAUUCUUAUUUAUUUCUUUUAGAAAUUGUUACCGUAAUUUACUAGCCUUUUCCU
This 99-nucleotide transfer RNA is filed under the name Hepatus epheliticus (calico box crab). Its description in RNAcentral is "tRNA-Leu". The record is from RNAcentral. Lineage: Eukaryota; Metazoa; Arthropoda; Malacostraca; Decapoda; Calappidae.